Molecule: ribosomal RNA, 490 nt
Filed under: uncultured bacterium
Lineage: Bacteria
Description: partial 16S ribosomal RNA
Rfam family: Bacterial small subunit ribosomal RNA
Source: RNAcentral
AUUGAACGCUGGCGGCAGGCCUAACACAUGCAAGUCGAACGGCAACAGGAAACAGCUUGCUGUUUCGCUGACGAGUGGCGGACGGGUGAGUAAUGUCUGGGAAACUGCCUGAUGGAGGGGGAUAACUACUGGAAACGGUAGCUAAUACCGCAUAACGUCGCAAGACCAAAGAGGGGGACCCUCGGGCCUCUUGCCAUCGGAUGUGCCCAGAUGGGAUUAGCUUGUUGGUGGGGUAACGGCUCACCAAGGCGACGAUCCCUAGCUGGUCUGAGAGGAUGACCAGCCACACUGGAACUGAGACACGGUCCAGACUCCUACGGGAGGCAGCAGUGGGGAAUAUUGCACAAUGGGCGCAAGCCUGAUGCAGCCAUGCCGCGUGUAUGAAGAAGGCCUUCGGGUUGUAAAGUACUUUCAGCGGGGAGGAAGGGAGUAAAGUUAAUACCUUUGCUCAUUGACGUUACCCGCAGAAGAAGCACCGGCUAACUCCGUG